This 473-nucleotide ribosomal RNA is filed under the name uncultured bacterium. RNAcentral's name for it is "bacterial SSU rRNA". It matches the Rfam family "Bacterial small subunit ribosomal RNA", at positions 335 to 801 of the family's 1533-position model. The record is from RNAcentral.
ACUCCUACGGGAGGCAGCAGUAGGGAAUCUUCCACAAUGGGCGCAAGCCUGAUGGAGCAACACCGCGUGAGUGAAGAAGGGUUUCGGCUCGUAAAGCUCUGUUGUUAAAGAAGAACACGUAUGAGAGUAACUGUUCAUACGUUGACGGUAUUUAACCAGAAAGUCACGGCUAACUACGUGCCAGCAGCCGCGGUAAUACGUAGGUGGCAAGCGUUAUCCGGAUUUAUUGGGCGUAAAGAGAGUGCAGGCGGUUUUCUAAGUCUGAUGUGAAAGCCUUCGGCUUAACCGGAGAAGUGCAUCGGAAACUGGAUAACUUGAGUGCAGAAGAGGGUAGUGGAACUCCAUGUGUAGCGGUGGAAUGCGUAGAUAUAUGGAAGAGCACCAGUGGCGAAGGCGGCUACCUGGUCUGCAACUGACGCUGAGACUCGAAAGCAUGGGUAGCGAACAGGAUUAGAUACCCUGGUAGGAUAGCG